Nicotiana attenuata is the source of this 772-nucleotide long non-coding RNA. RefSeq lists it as uncharacterized. The record is from RefSeq and is a predicted model, not a curated record. Lineage: Eukaryota; Viridiplantae; Streptophyta; Magnoliopsida; Solanales; Solanaceae. The transcript has 3 exons.
CCUUCUCUUUUCCCCUCCCCUUCCAACUCUCUCGGCUUCCCAGCAAAACUCCCACCCAAUUUUUUUCAUUUCUCAUCCUAAUUUCUCUUCCCCCCUCACCUUUCUUUGUUUCUUUUUCCCUUCAUCUUCCUCUUCAAUAAUCUUUUCUUUCAUUUGCUAGUCUCCGCCCACUAUUUUCGUCCCAAUAUGCCGCAACCACCGGUGUCGGAAGAAAGCUUGAGCUUUAUCGUUGUUCUAUCAUCGAAUUCAUCUUUGUCAAAAUAGCAGCAAAAAAAAAAAAGGAAGGCAAAUUUGCAAUGAUAUUGGGCGACCUCCACUUUUAAAAUCAUGGAUUUCUGUUAUUUUUUUUCUGAAAUUCCAAUUUUUUUCUUGUUUUGGUUAUGGUCUAAUCAUGACCAUAGUAAUGUUGUAAAUUUGAUUUAGAAAUAAGAGAGAGAAAGAAUAAUGAAGAAAAAGAGAAAGGAGAAGAAAGAAGGUUAAGGAAAGGAAGGGAGGAGGGUGAAUGAAGAAGAAUGAGGACGGUUGGGUACAGAUUAAUACUGGAUUCGGUACAUUGGUAUGCUUCUGAUCAUGAUAUUUGAGAAAAGACAUGCUUAUCUUUAACUUCGAUUGUGCACCAACUAAACAAGUCAUGUAAAACGUUGGAGCUGAGAUCGAUGUCGCAGAGUCCGAGCAAAUUGCAGUCAUUAACUGUCAUUUGUUCACGGUAACCUAGAAUCUUGUAAACAGAUGAUGUAUUUCUUCAUAUCAAUAUUGUAUUCAUAUUCUUAGA